This is a long non-coding RNA of Eurytemora carolleeae, 617 nucleotides long. RefSeq lists it as uncharacterized. NCBI's taxonomy places the organism in Eukaryota, Metazoa, Arthropoda, Copepoda, Calanoida, Temoridae. The record is from RefSeq and is a predicted model, not a curated record. The transcript has 3 exons.
UUUUUACGGUUUGAUAUUACGAAUGAUUGCGGCAUUCGAGAAUAAGAGAGAAAUCUCAAACUAAUUGCUCUAAGAAACUAUAAAGGACGAGUGACGACCUGAUUUUACCACUGAUAUAAAUAAUAUCAUUUGGAGAAUUCAAUUUUUUUGUAUUUAUUUUGUUUUAAGUUUAACAUGAUAAUUUUACAUCACAUUUCAAAAUAAUAAAUAAAUAUUUACAAUGAGUUAUUGCUAAACAAAUAAUAUAGAUGUCGUUAUUUUGCAGUAGUUAAGAUACAACUAGCGGCACUAACGUCAAUGAUCUGUACUACCACAUUCCAAUCUGAAAAAUUCAAUUCCAAGAAUUGGACCAAUGAGAAGAGGUUCUGGAUAAAUCGAACCAAUCAGAACUACGAAUUUGUGCAGGCCAGCUGUUGUCCGUGCUACGGCAUAAUUCUUUGUGAGUGAAGGUAGCGGGUGAUCGUCUAAUACCCAGAUCAAUGAUUUUGAAUUAAAAUGUCCUUUGCUGACAACAAUCCUGAGGAAAAAGGUCGGGAGAUGAAUGUCACGGUUGACAGUGCUGGGAAUAUCCUCAGUACAUCCUCUGUUGAGGACCAGGGGGACCUCGAUAUCACGGA